GAUAUACUGAGCUUGUAAUGGAGUACAAGUCCUUGGCAAAGAAUAAACAAGCUAUCAGCAUCUGCAAGUAAACUGAUCGGAAGGUCCCCUUCAUCCCGAUUUGUUGCCUUCCUUUUUAUUUCACCGUCACUCUUCGUGCACUUUCCGGUAGAAGGUGUGGGAGAUCGGGGGAUCUUGUUGUGCCCAGAAAAUAAACUCUUGC
Molecule: unclassified non-coding RNA, 202 nt
Filed under: Hevea brasiliensis (rubber tree)
Lineage: Eukaryota; Viridiplantae; Streptophyta; Magnoliopsida; Malpighiales; Euphorbiaceae
Source: RNAcentral